UCAGAACGUACGCUGGCGGCACGCCUAACACAUGCAAGUCGAACGAAGUAGCAAUACUUAGUGGCGAACGGGUGAGUAUAAUGUGGGUAUCUGCCCUUUGGUUUGGAAUAACACGAGGAAACUUGUGCUAAUACUGAAUAAGCCCUUACGGGGAAAGCUUUAGCGCCGAAGGAUGAGCUCGCACUUGAUUAGCUAGUUGGUAGGGUAAUGGCCUACCAAGGCAACGAUCAAUAGCUGAUCUGAGAGGAUGAUCAGCCACAUUGGGACUGAGACACGGCCCAAACUCNUACGGGAGGCAGCAGUGGGGAAUCUUGCACAAUGGGGGAAACCCUGAUGCAGCGAUGCCGCGUGAGUGAAGAAGGCCUUUGGGUUGUAAAGCUCUUUCGUCGGGGAAGAAAAUGACUGUACCCGAAUAAGAAGGUCCGGCUAACUUCGUGCCAGCAGCCGCGGUAAUACGAAGGGACCUAGCGUAGUUCGGAAUUACUGGGCUUAAAGAGCUCGUAGGUGGUUAGAAAAGUUGGUGGUGAAAUCCCAAGGCUUAACCUUGGAACUGCCAUCAAAACUUUUUAACUAGAGUAUGAUAGAGGUAAGCGGAAUUUCUAGUGUAGAGGUGAAAUUCGUAGAUAUUAGAAAGAACACCAAUUGCGAAGGCAGCUUUCUGGAUCAUAACUGACACUGAGGAGCGAAAGCAUGGGUAGCGAAGAGGAUUAGAUACCCUCGUAGUCCAUGCUGUAAACGAUGUGUGCUAGACGUUGGAAACUUAGUUUYCAGUGUCGCAGCAAAAGCGUUAAGCACACCGCCNGGGGAGUACGACCGCAAGGUUAAACUCA
RNAcentral lists this ribosomal RNA (830 nucleotides) under uncultured Pelagibacterales bacterium. Its description in RNAcentral is "SSU rRNA". It matches the Rfam family "Bacterial small subunit ribosomal RNA", at positions 24 to 903 of the family's 1533-position model. The record is from RNAcentral. Lineage: Bacteria; Pseudomonadati; Pseudomonadota; Alphaproteobacteria; Candidatus Pelagibacterales.